RNAcentral lists this ribosomal RNA (477 nucleotides) under uncultured Pseudomonas sp. RNAcentral's name for it is "bacterial SSU rRNA". It matches the Rfam family "Bacterial small subunit ribosomal RNA", at positions 49 to 524 of the family's 1533-position model. Lineage: Bacteria; Pseudomonadati; Pseudomonadota; Gammaproteobacteria; Pseudomonadales; Pseudomonadaceae. The record is from RNAcentral.
CUACCAUGCAGUCGAGCGGAUGAGAGGAGCUUGCUCCUCGAUUCGCGGCGGACGGGUGAGUAAUGCCUAGGAGUCUGCCUAGUACUGGGGGACGACGUUUCUAAAGGAACGCUAAUACCGCAUACGUCCUACGGGAGAAAGUGGGGGAUCUUCGGACCUCACGCUUUUAGAUGAGCCUAGGUCGGAUUAGCUAGUUGGUAGGGUAAAGGCCUACCAAGGCGACGAUCCGUAACUGGUCUGAGAGGAUGAUCAGUCACACUGGAACUGAGACACGGUCCAGACUCCUACGGGAGGCAGCAGUGGGGAAUAUUGGACAAUGGGCGAGAGCCUGAUCCAGCCAUGCCGCGUGUGUGAGGAAGGCCCUCGGGUCGUAAAGCACUUUAACUUGGGAGGAAGGGCUUACAGCGAAUACCUGUGAUUUUUGACGUUACCGACAGAAUAAGCACCGGCUAACUUCGUGCCUACAGCCGCGGUAAU